RNAcentral lists this ribosomal RNA (497 nucleotides) under uncultured bacterium. Its description in RNAcentral is "partial 16S ribosomal RNA". It matches the Rfam family "Bacterial small subunit ribosomal RNA", at positions 28 to 507 of the family's 1533-position model. The record is from RNAcentral.
GACGAACGCUGGCGGCGUGCCUAAUACAUGCGGGUUGAGCGCUGAAGGUUGGUACUUGUACCAACUGGAUGAGCAGCGAACGGGUGAGUAACGCGUGGGGAAUCUGCCUUUGAGCGGGGGACAACAUUUGGAAACGAAUGCUAAUACCGCAUAAAAACUUUAAACACAAGUUUUAAGUUUGAAAGAUGCAAUUGCAUCACUCAAAGAUGAUCCCGCGUUGUAUUAGCUAGUUGGUGAGGUAAAGGCUCACCAAGGCGAUGAUACAUAGCCGACCUGAGAGGGUGAUCGGCCACAUUGGGACUGAGACACGGCCCAAACUCCUACGGGAGGCAGCAGUAGGGAAUCUUCGGCAAUGGACGAAAGUCUGACCGAGCAACGCCGCGUGAGUGAAGAAGGUUUUCGGAUCGUAAAACUCUGUUGGUAGAGAAGAACGUUGGUGAGAGUGGAAAGCUCAUCAAGUGACGGUAACUACCCAGAAAGGGACGGCUAACUACGUG